RNAcentral lists this ribosomal RNA (468 nucleotides) under uncultured bacterium. Its description in RNAcentral is "partial 16S ribosomal RNA". It matches the Rfam family "Bacterial small subunit ribosomal RNA", at positions 28 to 507 of the family's 1533-position model. The record is from RNAcentral.
GACGAACGCUGGCGGCGUGCUUAACACAUGCAAGUCGAACGGAAAGGCCCUGCUUUUGUGGGGUGCUCGAGUGGCGAACGGGUGAGUAACACGUGAGUAACCUGCCCUUGACUUUGGGAUAACUUCAGGAAACUGGGGCUAAUACCGGAUAUGAGCUCCUGCUGCAUGGUGGGGGUUGGAAAGUUUCGGCGGUUGGGGAUGGACUCGCGGCUUAUCAGCUUGUUGGUGGGGUAGUGGCUUACCAAGGCUUUGACGGGUAGCCGGCCUGAGAGGGUUACCGGCCACAUUGGGACUGAGAUACGGCCCAGACUCCUACGGGAGGCAGCAGUGGGGAAUAUUGCACAAUGGGCGGAAGCCUGAUGCAGCAACGCCGCGUGCGGGAUGACGGCCUUCGGGUUGUAAACCGCUUUCGCAUGUGACGAAGAGUGAGUGACGGUAAUGGGUAAAGAAGCACCGGCUAACUACGUG